AAAAACAUGGAAUAGAAAUUCAAGACCGAUUGAUGUAGAAGCGGGUUUUAUGGUCAAAAAGAAUCGAUGGAAGGUCCAUAAACUUUGUUUCAUCCUACAUUCUCCUGUAUGCGAGUUGAAGCAGUCAAAACAAAUUGCAAAACCGAGAGAGAGAUCUGGAGAGUGUAGGAGCCAUGAGCAUGGAGUUUUUAUCAUCCAUCUGUUGCUGCUUUCGUCGUUCUUCACUGCUAUCAGCUGAUGCCAUGCCUGCAGUUGCUCAGCCUUUGAUACCUAAAAACUUGGAAAACGAUGACCAAGUUCCAAUCCUGGUUCCAUACUUUCCUGUCAAUCCAAAUCUAUCUCGAUUGUAAGGUAAGUAAAUAAAUCCUUUGUUUCAAAUUCAAGUUGGAAGAACAAAAGAUUAGGUGAGUGAUAUGGGGAUGGGGUGAUUUGGACGCAGGUCAUCUGCAACUUGAGGGCGUCUGACAGUUUUCAUUUUCAACCAACUGCUCAAAGUAUUAUAGAAAUGCUGAUCUGAAGAGCAGUACGCAUCCAGAGAAUUUUUAGUUUUUCAUUCGCGGCUUUCACUACUCUUCUUCCCCACUUCUAGCAGUGUAAUCUCUAAUCAGUUCAGGGUUUUGUAUAAGAUUUGACAAUGGAAUUACCAUCUGCAGAUUCUAUGGCUGUAUUUUGAUAAAUCAAGUGAUGG
This 688-nucleotide long non-coding RNA is filed under the name Vitis vinifera (wine grape). RNAcentral describes it as "long non-coding RNA (VVIN_LNC005798)". The record is from RNAcentral. Lineage: Eukaryota; Viridiplantae; Streptophyta; Magnoliopsida; Vitales; Vitaceae.